CCUACGGGAGGCAGCAGUGGGGAAUAUUGCGCAAUGGGCGAAAGCCUGACGCAGCGACGCCGCGUGAGGGAUGAAGGUCUUCGGAUUGUAAACCUCUGUCAGCAGGGAAGAACGGUCACUGUGCUAAUCAGCAGUGAAUUGACGGUACCUGCAAAGGAAGCACCGGCUAACUCCGUGCCAGCAGCCGCGGUAAUACGGAGGGUGCAAGCGUUAAUCGGAAUUACUGGGCGUAAAGCGCUCGUAGGCGGUAUGUCAAGUCUAGGGUGAAAGCCCCGCGCUCAACGUGGGAACUGCCUUUGAAACUGGCAAACUGGAGUGUGUGAGAGGAUAGUGGAAUUCCAGGUGUAGGAGGGAAAUCCGUAGAUAUCUGGAGGAACAUCAGUGGCGAAGGCGACUAUCUGGCACAUAACUGACGCUGAGGAGCGAAAGCGUGGGUAGCAAACAGGAUUAGAUACCCCUGUAGUC
Molecule: ribosomal RNA, 465 nt
Filed under: uncultured bacterium
Lineage: Bacteria
Description: partial 16S ribosomal RNA
Rfam family: Bacterial small subunit ribosomal RNA
Source: RNAcentral